Molecule: unclassified non-coding RNA, 220 nt
Filed under: rhizosphere metagenome
Description: partial ribosomal RNA internal transcribed spacer region
Source: RNAcentral
GUAGGUGAACCUGCGGAAGGAUCAUUAAUGGUGCUUGCAGAAAUGCUUGCACGGCGGCGGCCUUAAAACGCGCCAAAUGGCACCCUUUGUUUAUGAGUACCGUUCGUUUCCUCGGCAGGCUUGCCUGCCAGUAGGACCCCUUUCAACCCUUUGCAGUUGCAGUCAGCGUCAGAAAAUAACAUAAUCGUUACAACUUUCAACAACGGAUCUCUUGGUUCUG